GCGAAGCCCUUUUCCCUAUUCCUGGAGCUGUGUUCCACCUGCCGCCUGGCACUCAGGCCCCACCCUUCCUGCUCUUGGUGCCUCAAGUAGUCUCCACCAACCCUGUGGUGUGGCCAGCCCCAUGCUGCUCAAGCUGCAGCAAAAGAGGAAGCAGACACUGCUCUCAAGAGUGUUGCAGCUUGAUCGGUAAAACAGCUACUUCUGUUGAAGAAUCUACCAGCCAUCGUGCCUCUUUGGGUACCUAUAGUCUUCCAUUUAUUUGAUAAUAAUAAACACAAACUUCAAGAGGAUGGUUUCUUCUUGGAGGGUGGGUGGGAAGAUCGGGGAGAGAAGAGGGUAAGAGCAUACAUUCUAAACUUUUGGGUUUUUAGAUUGGGUGGUCAGUUAAUGGAAAUUCAUUACAUUAUUGAAAAUAAAUUAUAAUUAAACAAUUAAAGAAAGCCAUGAUGGGUCAGUGAUGGCACUAGAGUACGAACCAAAGAUUAUGGUUCAGUUCUGAGCACUGCAAGAAAUUAUUACAAAGACAAAGAGCAUUUGCUGCACGCCAGGCAGGGUCCUAAGUGCUUUUGGUGAGGUGAGAUGGCAGAAUGAAGAGAGACUAGUCCUUGGCCUGGGGUGGGGGGUUGCUCUAUAGAGAGGUGAGGUCUGAACUGGGCUUCGAAGAAUGAUCAGAAAUCCUGGGCUAGAAGAGGAGGGAUUUGGGGUACUGGGCAGUGUUCAGAAGUGUUUGGGGGGCCCCUGUGGCCUGCCUCAUUUCUACCUAUUUUGGGCCCCAAGUUGGAGAUUCUUUUAAUCUGGCCGAAGAGCAGGACCAGCCUGGCAGCCAGGAGGCAGGAGACUCCGGCUUUGCAGAGGCCUCCCAGCCUCCCUCUCUACCCCCACUCCAGAGAGAGCAGCAGCAAGGAUGUGGUUCUCCCCAGUUUAGAGACAGAAAAACUGAGGCUUUGCUUUUGAUUAGAACUGAAAGGACCAGCCAAGGUCACCCAGACACUGGUGGGGGAUGGUAGUCAGGAACCCCACUCCUAAUUUUCUCCCCGUCUAGGCCUGCCAAGAGUGGUACUCCUGGGGCUCUGGGGCUGGGGGCCUGACCAGGAAUGGCCUGGCUGUGAGCACUGUGCUUUAUCUCCCUUGUGGGCCAACAUGUCCCAGCACAGUGUGUAUGUGUGGAAAGGUCUCAGUGGCUGCUCCCCCAGUCUCUCUAGAGCGCAUCUCCCCCAACCUCUCAGGCCUGCUUAGUCUAGGAGGCUAGGGCAGCAGGUUCAGGGGGUGGGGAGCCAUUGCUCCUUCUCUAGCAGCAGGACUGAAGAUGCAAGCCAGGUGCCUAGGAAGCAAACUUUAAUGAAGCACUCAUUCUCAGGGCUGUGCGAGCGCUCCGCUCCCGACACAGAGCCUCACAUUUUGUGCCCUGGCCACCUUGCCUGCCUCACUGUGGUCCUUGCCCUGCCCUGCAGCUCUGCCUCAGUCCCCGGGGCUCGGGGCUCUCACCCAGCUACCCUCCUUGGCAUCUGAGCUUUCUGCCUCUGCAGCCACGCCCCUGCCAUCUUCCUGCCUGGGAAGAUAAUGCGAUUGGGCACUGGUUCCAGGCCGUCUGGCUCCAGGGUGCAAGUGGGCCCUGUGCACUCAGCAGCCACCAGUAGGGCCCUUCUACCUCCUGACUUGCUGGUUGUUCACCUCCCCAGACCAAGGACCCCUGAGACACCAGCUCCUGUGCCUGUCCUAACCUCCCCCGAGAGCUGCUUCCUCCUUGCCUGUGAGAAGGCCUUAGCAGCAUGAGCCCAGCUGCUCUACCUUCUCCUCCCCUUCCUCCAGCAAGGUGAGCUCUAUAUCCCCAGCCCAGAGAAGUGGGCUUGCUCCUCAAAUGUCCAGGGGCCAGCCCCAAGCUGUGAUGAUUCAGGGAGAUUCCAGGGUGAGGGAGAGCAGGGAAUGAUUAAUCUCACAGCUAAUAGAUAACUGUGCCCACCCCCUACCCACAGGAGACAGCACUUGGAGCUAUAUCACUAGGAGGGGCCAGGGGUUAAAUGUGGCCACUAGAGAGCCCAUAGUUCUGGGAGGGGCAAGCCCCUGAGGCUGGAUCUGGGGCUGGCUCUUGGGGAAGGAGGGAUCUUGCUGGCUGGACAGCAAGAAGAAUCUGGGUAGACAGAUGUGGCUCAUAGUCAGCCCUGCUUCCUCAUGCCAUGUCUGGGGCCUGGAGUCUGAGGAAGCAGCCUGUGAGGACAAACUACCCAUGCAAUGAGACUCAGGGGAGUGUGUCUGUCUUCCAGAGACGCCCCCGCCUCCUGACUUGGCCUUUCCUUCCCUGUGAGUCCUGUCCCACCCCCACAUUUGGGCAGCUGAGUUGGAUGAGGUGGGAAAUGUAGGCAGUGUGAUUUUGUAGCAAAUGGCAGCUCAAAGCUGUGUGAUCUUGGGCAAAAUGUUAACCCUUUCUGAGCUUUGGUUCCCAUCCUUAUUCAGUGAGGCAAUCAGGGCUGCUCUGUGGGCUGAAUGAGACCACGCAGGUAAAGCUCUUAACACGGAUGGUUAUGAGCUCCAGGCAUGCUCGCUUUUCCCUGCUAACCAACCUUGGGCUUGGCAAGUUCUCUCUAGUGCAGCUCUGGGUGGCAGUGACUUCAGUUUAAACCCAGCUCAGCACCUUAAGGGGUGGGGUGUGAACUGGCCUCAAGGGGCCCAGUUAGAGCCCUUGUGGAAGCACAGGGCAAAGCCAGCUCUCCAAUCUCUCUGCAGAAACUCCUGAGGCUGAGCCUCAUAACUUAUAUGAGGUCAGAGCAGCCCUCGAAGGUCCUGGCCAGCAGCCGGUGGAUUCAGAGCGGGGAGCCCUCUCAGAGUUUUCCAUCCUUCAGCCAACAAGUGAAGACCUGCUGUCUACACCACUGGGGCCGAGGGAGUGAACUUGCAGCUCCAGAAGCAGCACACACACAGGAGGUGUUGCUGUGGACCAGGAGGACUGCACACACGUUCAGAGCAGGAGAUAAAGGGGUCGAGGAAGGCCUCCGGGAUGAAGGGCCUUGAGCAGGACCCUGAGAACACAUUGGAUUUAGGACCCUGGCUGAUAUACCUGCUGUGUGAGCCCCUCUCCAUGGCCCAAUCUCUCGCCCCGCCUGAUGUCCUGGUAUUACUGCUGUCAUCGUCACCACCAGCCCCUUCACACCCCCAACUUUUAGUGAG
RNAcentral lists this long non-coding RNA (3162 nucleotides) under Homo sapiens (human). RNAcentral describes it as "HSALNT0382276". The record is from RNAcentral. Lineage: Eukaryota; Metazoa; Chordata; Mammalia; Primates; Hominidae.